Molecule: long non-coding RNA, 261 nt
Organism: Argiope bruennichi
Lineage: Eukaryota; Metazoa; Arthropoda; Arachnida; Araneae; Araneidae
Exons: 3
Source: RefSeq, a predicted model, not a curated record
UUUAGAAUCAUUUUACAAAGGACAACAAAAAAAGUUAAAAUCUAUACAGCCAUGACUUGAAAUUGCUAUGGUGCGAAGCUACAUUCACCUACAAGAAUGAGUAUUGUAAUGGAAAGACAUAUACACCAAACUAAUGAAAGAUUGAAGUGCAUCCAAGAGGCUCUGAACACUUCCAAUGGCUUCCAGACUGCAGCGAGAGAAUUACUGGAAUGGUGCGGAGAUACCAGAGCUUUUCAGAAACCCUUUGAGCAAGCUCUCAUG